AAAUUUCCUUUAGGCAUCCAUGUUUUUGACAACAGGUACCAGGCCCCCUUUCCCCUCCAGAAUUAUUGGACAAUGCGCGGUCUUUUUCUAACAACCAAGAUCAAUUUACUAAGGUUUGAGUUAUUAUUCUUUCUAUUGACCGGCUUGUUGGCAUAAAAAGAUCUGAAAGUUAAAGAUAGGCUAAACGCAAGUGUAAAGGUUAUUAUAAUGGAGCGCAUUAAGUAUCCAAAGGUUCGAAGAGAUGAAACAAAAGUUGAUGAAUACCAUGGUUAUAAAAUAUGUGACCCAUACUCUUGGCUAGAAGACCCUGACGCCCAAGAAACAAAAGAAUUUGUUCAAAAACAAAACGAAAUUAGUGUGCCUUUCCUAGAAGAGUGUAAAUUCAAGGAGAAAUUUAAAAAACGAAUGACUGAGUUAUGGAAUUAUCCAAAAUAUGGAUGUCCAUUUAAACAUGGAAAUAUGUAUUAUUAUUUUCAUAACAGUGGCCUUCAAAAUCAAAGUGUUCUUUAUUGCAAGGCAUCUCUCGAAGGAGAACCUCAAGUAUUUUUAGAUCCAAACACUUUUUCAAAGGAAGGAAAUAUUGCCAUAAGCAGUUAUUCAUUUUCAGAAGAUGGAGCAUUGCUUGCUUAUAGUCUAAGUGAAAGUGGAUCUGAUUGGGUCACUGUUCAUUUUAGAACAACUGGUGCUGGUGAGGUAAAGGAUUUUCCUGACAAGUUAUCGCAAGUAAAAUUCACUAGUUUGGAAUGGACCCAUGACAACAAAGGAAUUUUUUACAAUAGAUACCCAAAGACUUCAGAAAAAAGUGAUGGCACAGAAACUGAUCUUAACCUAAAUCAAAAGUUAUAUUAUCAUGUGCUGGGAACUAAACAAGAUGAAGAUGUUUUAUGCUGUGAAUUCACAGAAAACCCAGAAUGGAUGAUUGGAUCUGAAGUUAGCGACUGUGGUCGUUAUAUUAUUUUAAGUAUCCGUCAAGGUUGUGAUCCUGUCAAUAAACUUUAUUAUGUUGACCUUACAUCUCUCAAAGAAGGCAUUAAAGGACAUCUGCCCUUUGUGAAAAUUGUUGACAAUUUUGAUGCUGAGUAUGAUUAUAUAACCAACGAUGGUUCUCUGUUUACUUUCAAGACAAACUUAAACUCCCCAAAUUACAGGCUCAUCAAUAUUGAUUUUAAUAAUUUUGAUGAAGAGAACUGGAUGACCUUAGUUCCUGAAAAUUCAAAAGAUGUCUUGGAAUGGGCGUCUUGUGUCAAUAAUGACGUAUUAGUUCUGUGUUAUUUACAUGAUGUAAAGAGUGUUCUUUAUGUACAUCGUUUAUCUGAUGGAUCAUGUAUUAAGCAGUUUCCUCUUGAUAUUGGGAGCAUUGUUGGGUUUUCUGGACAGAAAAAACAAACGGAAAUAUUUUACCAGUUCACAAGCUUUUUAACUCCUGGAAUCAUUUAUCAUUGUGAUCUAUCAUUGGAGAAUUUUACACCAAAAAUUUUCCAUGAAACGGUUGUUGAAGGUUUUGAUGCGUCGCUCUAUGAAACUGUUCAAGUUUUUUAUCCUAGCAAGGAUGGCACAAAUAUUCCAAUGUUUAUUGUUCACAAAAAGAACAUUGAUAUGGACGCAAGUCAUCCUCUUUACAUGUAUGGCUAUGGUGGUUUUAAUAUUUCUGUUAAACCAAGUUUUAGUGUCUCUAGAAUUAUCUUUAUCCGUCAUCUUUCUGGUAUUGUAGCCGUGCCAAAUAUCAGAGGGGGAAGUGAGUACGGUGAACGUUGGCAUAAAGGUGGAAUGUUGGCUAAUAAGCAAAAUUGUUUUGACGAUUUCCAAUACGCUGCAGAGUAUCUCAUAGCGCACAAGUAUACCACAUCGGAAAGAAUUGCCAUUAAUGGUGCAUCCAAUGGAGGGCUGUUAGUCGGCGCAUGUGUUAAUCAGCGUCCUCAACUAUUCAAUUGUGCCGUAGCGCAAGUGGGUGUGAUGGAUAUGUUGAAGUUUCAUAAAUUUACGAUUGGGCAUGCAUGGGUAACUGACUAUGGUUGUUCAUCAGCGAAGGAGCAAUUUGAAAUGCUAAUCAACUAUUCUCCGUUACAUAAUAUCAAAAUACCAGAAACUGGCGUUCAAUAUCCCUCAGUCUUGUUGAUGACGGCUGACCACGAUGAUCGCGUUGUUCCUUUGCAUUCUUAUAAAUACAUAGCGCAACUGCAGUAUAUUAUGGGCAGCCAGGAGAUUCAAAGCAAUCCGCUGUUGAUUUUAGUGGACACAAAAGCUGGACACGGUGCGGGAAAACCAACUUUAAAAAGGAUAGAUGAUUGUGCGAAUAUGUUUGCUUUCAUUGCAAAAACAAUCAACAUAACGACAUGGAUAGAAUAAAAUACUGGCAGGUUCUCAGUACGUAUCAUCAUGAAAGAACAAAUGAUCACGGUGACAAGUUGUUUAGUGCGCCUGUCAGGUAGGCCAAUACAACCUGUAUGCUCUGUAUGGCAGACUUUCUAGCCGUUCGAACAUCUUCAUAACCAUCAGUGGUAAUUUUAUCUAACUCAAGAAUAUACUCCGUCAAUGUUCCAUCCAAAUAAACAUACUCUUUUGUACCUAAAGUAAAAUGAUUUUAUGGCAUUAACUGCAAA
Molecule: RNA transcript, 2600 nt
Organism: Xenia sp. Carnegie-2017
Lineage: Eukaryota; Metazoa; Cnidaria; Anthozoa; Malacalcyonacea; Xeniidae
Gene name: prolyl endopeptidase-like
Exons: 23
Source: RefSeq, a predicted model, not a curated record